Coregonus clupeaformis (lake whitefish) is the source of this 475-nucleotide long non-coding RNA. RefSeq lists it as uncharacterized. The record is from RefSeq and is a predicted model, not a curated record. The transcript is spliced from 3 exons. NCBI's taxonomy places the organism in Eukaryota, Metazoa, Chordata, Actinopteri, Salmoniformes, Salmonidae.
CAUGGUGCUGGUGGGUUAGGGGCCAGGUCUGUAACUAGUGUCUGUCUGUCUCCAGGUCCAGGAGGAGAAGAGGGGGAACAUGGUGCUGGUGGGUUAGGGGCCAGGUCUGUAACUAGUGUCUGUCUCCAGGUCCAGGAGGAGAAGAGGGGGAACAUGGUGCUGGUGGGUUAGGGGCCAGGUCUGUAACUAGUGUCUGUCUGUCUCCAGGUCCAGGAGGAGAAGAGGGGGAACAUGGUGCUGGUGGGUUAGGGGCCAGGUCUGUAACUAGUGUCUGUCUCCAGGUCCAGGAGGAGAAGAGGGGGAACAUGGUGCUGGUGGGUUAGGGGCCAGGUCUGUAACUAGUGUCUGUCUGUCUCCAGGUCCAGGAGGAGAAGAGGGGGAACAUGGUGCUGGUGGGUUAGGGGCCAGGUCUGUAACUAGUGUCUGUCUCCAGGUCCAGGAGGAGAAGAGGGGGAACAUGGUGCUGGUGGGUUAG